This 694-nucleotide ribosomal RNA is filed under the name uncultured Bacteroidales bacterium. RNAcentral describes it as "bacterial SSU rRNA". It matches the Rfam family "Bacterial small subunit ribosomal RNA", at positions 28 to 712 of the family's 1533-position model. Lineage: Bacteria; Pseudomonadati; Bacteroidota; Bacteroidia; Bacteroidales. The record is from RNAcentral.
GAUGAACGCUAGCUACAGGCUUAACACAUGCAAGUCGAGGGGCAGCAUCAUUAAAGCUUGCUUUGAUGGAUGGCGACCGGCGCACGGGUGAGUAACACGUAUCCAACCUGCCGACAACACUGGGAUAGCCUUUCGAAAGAAAGAUUAAUACCGGAUGGCAUAGUCUUCCCGCAUGGGAUGACUAUUAAAGAAUUUCGGUUGUCGAUGGGGAUGCGUUCCAUUAGGCAGUUGGCGGGGUAACGGCCCACCAAACCAACGAUGGAUAGGGGUUCUGAGAGGAAGGUCCCCCACAUUGGAACUGAGACACGGUCCAAACUCCUACGGGAGGCAGCAGUGAGGAAUAUUGGUCAAUGGACGAGAGUCUGAACCAGCCAAGUAGCGUGAAGGAUGACUGCCCUAUGGGUUGUAAACUUCUUUUAUACGGGAAUAAAGUGAGCCACGUGUGGCUUUUUGUAUGUACCGUAUGAAUAAGGAUCGGCUAACUCCGUGCCAGCGGCCGCGGUAAUACGGAGGAUCCGAGCGUUAUCCGGAUUUAUUGGGUUUAAAGGGAGCGUAGGCGGGUUGUUAAGUCAGUUGUGAAAGUUUGCGGCUCAACCGUAAAAUUGCAGUUGAUACUGGCGACCUUGAGUGCAACAGAGGUAGGCGGAAUUCGUGGUGUAGCGGUGAAAUGCUUAGAUAUCACGAAGAACUCCGA